GAACACAGUAGUUAAGCAUUUAGAGGCCGAAAGUACUUGCAUGGAGACGUGCUGGGAGGAUAGGAAGUUGCCAGUU
This 76-nucleotide ribosomal RNA is filed under the name Megamonas sp. Calf98-2. Lineage: Bacteria; Bacillati; Bacillota; Negativicutes; Selenomonadales; Selenomonadaceae. The record is from RNAcentral.